RNAcentral lists this ribosomal RNA (239 nucleotides) under uncultured Lactobacillus sp. Its description in RNAcentral is "partial 16S ribosomal RNA". It matches the Rfam family "Bacterial small subunit ribosomal RNA", at positions 122 to 355 of the family's 1533-position model. Lineage: Bacteria; Bacillati; Bacillota; Bacilli; Lactobacillales; Lactobacillaceae. The record is from RNAcentral.
UAACCUGCCCAAGAGAUCGGGAUAACACCUGGAAACAGAUGCUAAUACCGGAUAACAACAGAUGAUGCCUAUCAACUGUUUAAAAGAUGGUUCUGCUAUCACUCUUGGAUGGACCUGCGGUGCAUUAGCUAGUUGGUAGGGUAACGGCCUACCAAGGCGAUGAUGCAUAGCCGAGUUGAGAGACUGAUCGGCCACAUUGGGACUGAGACACGGCCCAAACUCCUACGGGAGGCAGCAGU